Molecule: ribosomal RNA, 497 nt
Filed under: uncultured bacterium
Lineage: Bacteria
Description: partial 16S ribosomal RNA
Rfam family: Bacterial small subunit ribosomal RNA
Source: RNAcentral
GAUGAACGCUGGCGGCGUGCCUAAUACAUGCAAGUCGAGCGAACGGACGAGAAGCUUGCUUUUCUGAUGUUAGCGGCGGACGGGUGAGUAACACGUGGAUAACCUACCUAUAAGACUGGGAUAACUUCGGGAAACCGGAGCUAAUACCGGAUAAUAUUUUGAACCGCAUGGUUCAAAAGUGAAAGACGGUCUUGCUGUCACUUAUAGAUGGAUCCGCGCUGCAUUAGCUAGUUGGUAAGGUAACGGCUUACCAAGGCAACGAUGCAUAGCCGACCUGAGAGGGGGAUCGGCCACACUGGAGGGUGGACACGGUCCAGACUCCUACGGGAGGCAGCAGUAGGGAAUCUUCCGCAGUGGGGGAAAGCCUGACGGAGCAACGCCGCGUGAGUGAUGACGGUCUUCGGAUCGUAAAACUCUGUUAUUAGGGAAGAACAGAUGUGGAAGUAACUGUGCACAUCUUGACGGUACCUAAUCAGAAAGCCACGGCUAACUACGUG